Contarinia nasturtii (swede midge) is the source of this 2479-nucleotide RNA transcript. It is a transcript of the gene named zinc finger protein 845-like, with no coding region annotated. The record is from RefSeq and is a predicted model, not a curated record. Lineage: Eukaryota; Metazoa; Arthropoda; Insecta; Diptera; Cecidomyiidae. The transcript has 5 exons.
UUGUGCGUGAUGUGAUUCAGUCGUUCACUGGCAAUUGCCACGUUUACAUAGCAAGACAGUCUCGUCGUACAAGUGAACCAAACAACCAAACUAAAUAUUCUACUAUCAUCAUCAUGUCUAGAGUGUGUCGAAUUUGCAAAUUGUGUAGAGUGUUCAUGCAUUGUCUGGAGCCAAGUAACGAUCAAGCGAAAAAUAUUUUGAGUAUGCUGGAAUACAUUGUAAGCACAAAUGAAUCGAAUGCGUUGCCAAAUUUCAUAUGUAAUCCAUGUUUGGAUCAUCUAAAAUAUAUAUAUCAUUUCAAGCGCAAAUUAGCAGAAGCUCUAUUGGUAAUAAAACCGGAGAAGGUCAGUGAUGUAAGUCAAGAAAUCAAACCAAAUUCCGAAGAAAAAAAUGAUCGACCACACGCGUGCUCAAUUUGUGACAAAAAAUUCAGAACAAAAGAAAAUUUUGAAUCGCAUUACGAACGACACUCAACAAAACGUCGUCAAUAUAGCUGUAAAAACUGUCGCCUAUGCUUUUUGGUUUUAAAACAUUAUUAUGAUCAUGCUUGCAAAUCACAUUAAACAGAGGAAAAAACUACGCAGCAAAUUCAAAGAGAGAAAAGAAUUACAACUCCGUUUUGUAGCCAUUGGAUACAUUUUUUUUCUUCAUACAUACCCAUACUGAUAAACAUAUAACAUAGACAUGUGCUGCAACCCGACUAAAUACAUUCACAUUUAUUGCGUGCCUAUCAUACAAGCAUCACGCAUACAAACACACCAACGUUUUGUUCAAGAUUCAGUGACAGUUUGUUUUCACAAAGAAAAUAACAAUCGAGCGAAUGGAAGGACUCUUAAAUUUGACACUCAUUUAAGACAAAAUAUCUGUAGAAGUGUUUAAAAAUGUCAAAAAUUUGUGAAAUUUGUAAAGAGGCCGAAAGUGUGCCAGCACAGAAAGUGGACUUCACCAAUAUCGAUGAAAUGUUGGAUGAUAUAUUGAAUAAUGCGACCCGUUCAACGAUACAAAAUAUUUGUGAGAUAUGUAUUGGCAAUUUGGUUUCUGCAUGUCAAUUCAAAAAUCGAUAUCAACGGUCGAUCGAUGCAUUUCUACCGGAAACCAAACCAAAUGACUCAAACUCAAGAGCGGCUAACAUCGAGAAUUUCAAACCGAAUGGUGAAAAUCGACAAUUUGAAAUUAUCACAAUCACACAAGAAACGGAUACUCAUCGGCCUUUUACUUGUGAUCGAUGCCAAAAAUCAUUCCUGAAACAAGGCCUUUUCAAACAACAUUGCCAGCGACAUUUGAACAAACGCAAUCAAAAGAUUUGUAAAAAAUGUAAUUCGAAAUUUUUGACAUCUACGAGUUUUAAGAAACAUUCAUGUAAAUGAGAACAUUGGACGCUACUUUUCAUUUGUUAAGACGCACACACAUACAUACUCAAUUCCUGCAAUAAAUAUAUUUCAUUCUGAAAAUUGACAUUUGCAUAUGAGAAACAUAAAGAAUAAACACUUUAUAUACAGAACAAAGAAAAAACCGUUAAGUUAUCAUUUCUCAGAUUCAAUGGUGCAGCUCAACACAUGUUUACGAAAGCAAAAUUGAAUGUAAUGAUUGUCGCUGCUUGCACAGUGUAUAAAAUGCACAUGACGUUGACAGUUCCAAAUCCAUUCCAAACCUAACCGUCAUUCGUGUUACAAGCACAAAUUCAAAAGAAUCACCAAUUUUCCGCACAAAUGUAAAAAAUGUCUUCGAAAAUGUGUUGUGUUUGCCAUCAAAACCGCGGUGACUUGAUUAAUUUGGAAUUUAAAGACGAGGCUGAAUCCAUUUUGACAAAAUUGAAAGAAUUCAUUGAUUUAACUAUAAUGAAAAAGGAUCCAAAUAUCGAGUAUAUUUGCUAUCCAUGCAGCCUCGAGCUAGACGAAGCAUUUAAUUUCACACAAAAUUGCAAAAAAUCAAUGUCUGUACACACGAUACAGAAACCGGAUUUCAAAUGUGGCGAAUGCUUCAUGAAAUUCAAAAACCUCAAAGAUUUGGAUCUACACAAUACCAGCCAUCAAUCAAUUAAUGUUAGAGAUGAUGAUGACGAUGACCCAGAGGAUUUCUCGUAUGCAGCAGGAACUGCAAAUCCAAGUCAAAUAUCACAAAAAAUGCCUACAACGGGAUACAGCAACAAAUUCAAAAUUCCGCUGGUCAGUUCAGCAGGUCAAAACGAGCCGACAACGAGCUACAUUUGCCGAAUUUGCAAGCAAACAUUUCAAAAACAAUGUGGACUAUCGAUGCAUGCCAAGUGGCACAACAUAAAAAAAGAACAAUUCAAAUGUGAACACUGCAGCUGUGUUUUCCUGAGAAAAGAACAAAUGAAUAAACACAUUCGAAAAGCACACCUUUAGCGCUUUUCAAAUGUUUUAUAAUCUAAACGAUCGAUUUUUAUAAACUUUUGCUUGAAUUAAAUUUAAGAAGAGGAUUUUUUCAAAAAAAAAAAAAUAAAGGAACUUUUUAUCAU